UGACGAGGAACCCGUGGACCGUUGCAGGUCGGCGUCUGGCCAACGCCCUACUCGGCCUCGGGUUUGGGUUCGAUUUCUGGUUCGUCGG
This 88-nucleotide transfer RNA is filed under the name uncultured Acidimicrobiales bacterium. Its description in RNAcentral is "tRNA-Ala". The record is from RNAcentral. Lineage: Bacteria; Bacillati; Actinomycetota; Acidimicrobiia; Acidimicrobiales. RNAcentral also lists the same sequence under 1 other name.